ACGGAGGGUGCAAGCAUUGAUCGGAAUUACUGGGCGUAAAGGGCGCGUAGGCGGCUUGAAAAGUCAGAUGUGAAAUUCCGGGGCUCAACCCCGGAGCUGCAUUUGAAACUUUCGAGCUAGAGGGUAGUAAGGGAAAACGGAAUUCCGCGUGUAGCGGUGAAAUGCGUAGAUAUGUGGAAGAACACCGGUGGUGAAGACGGUUUUCUGUGCUAAACCUGACGCUGAGGCGCGAAAGCUAGGGGAGCAAACAGGA
This 253-nucleotide ribosomal RNA is filed under the name uncultured prokaryote. Its description in RNAcentral is "partial 16S ribosomal RNA". It matches the Rfam family "Bacterial small subunit ribosomal RNA", at positions 525 to 777 of the family's 1533-position model. The record is from RNAcentral.